AGGAUGUCCAGUUAAAUCUCUAUUUCAGAUAAACAAUAAAUAAUUUUUAGUAUAAAUGCAUUUCAUACAAUAUUUUGGACAUACUUAUGCUAAAAAACUACUCUUUGUUUAUCUGAAAUGGAAAUUUAAUUGGAU
RNAcentral lists this microRNA precursor (135 nucleotides) under Chlorocebus sabaeus (green monkey). RNAcentral's name for it is "miRNA (ENSCSAG00000023835.1)". Lineage: Eukaryota; Metazoa; Chordata; Mammalia; Primates; Cercopithecidae. The record is from RNAcentral.